RNAcentral lists this ribosomal RNA (825 nucleotides) under Triticum aestivum (bread wheat). RNAcentral describes it as "partial small subunit ribosomal RNA". The record is from RNAcentral. Lineage: Eukaryota; Viridiplantae; Streptophyta; Magnoliopsida; Poales; Poaceae.
CUCCAGUUCAUCAUCGACAGGAUCAAGGCAAGGCUUGCGGGCUGGAAGGGCAAGCUGCUACCGAUGGCCGGCCGCUGCGUCCUCGUCAGAUGCAUGCUGAGUGCCAUGCCAACCUUCACCCUCACCGUCCUUCAUGUCCCACAAAAAAUUCUCAAAGAGAUCGACAAGUGUAGAUGUCGCUUCCUCUGGUGCCAGGACGACGAGGUUUCUGGCGCCAACUGCAAAGUCAACUGGCCAGCGGUUUGCGCCCCGACGGAGCACGGUGACCGGGGCAUCCCAGACCUGCAGCGUUUUGGCAGAGCGCUACGGCUGCGCUGGCUCUGGACUGCCUGGCACCACCCGGAGCGGCCUUGGGUGGGCACCGAGCUGCCUUGCGACGGCGCGGACAAGGCGCUCUUCGCGGCCUCCACUAGCGUUGCGAUCAGCGACGGGGCUCGGGCCUCUUUCUGGCUCUCUCCAUGGAUCAGCCAGGGCUACCUCUCGCAACAGUUCCCAAGGCUGUUUAGCUACUCGCGGCGCAAGAACAGAUCAGUGCGGGAGGCCCUAAGAGACGACAUGUGGAUCCGCGACCUCGCCCAUGGCGACAACUGCCACCUCCUGCCGGAUGCCCUCACCCUUCAUUGUCUGCUCCAGGGGACGGACACGCAGCUGCAGCCAGGAGUGCCGGAUGAUCUGUCGUGGAGUAGAGCGAGCUCAGGAAAGUACACAGCGAGGUCGGCCUACCUGGCACAGUUCCAAGGGAGAACAGUGACCCCUUUCGACCGGCUGGUUUGGAAGGCCUGGGCGCCGGGCAAAAUCAAGAUCUUUGCCUGGUUGCUUCUCUAG